Molecule: regulatory RNA element, 142 nt
Organism: Felis catus (domestic cat)
Lineage: Eukaryota; Metazoa; Chordata; Mammalia; Carnivora; Felidae
Rfam family: Human acetyl-coA cholesterol acyltransferase mRNA
Source: Rfam
UUGCGGCGGGGCUGAUUGCGCUGCCGGUCUUGGACCCCGGGAGAGCUGCCCGUAGCCCACCUUCCCGCCAGCCUCGCUGCGAGGGCUUCCCGGCUUUGGCGUUCUCGCCCGCUGUCGGGCUCCGGCCCCAGGUAAUGCAGAU